RNAcentral lists this ribosomal RNA (134 nucleotides) under Ensifer meliloti. RNAcentral's name for it is "Sinorhizobium meliloti partial 23S ribosomal RNA". It matches the Rfam family "Bacterial large subunit ribosomal RNA", at positions 2787 to 2925 of the family's 2925-position model. The record is from RNAcentral. Lineage: Bacteria; Pseudomonadati; Pseudomonadota; Alphaproteobacteria; Hyphomicrobiales; Rhizobiaceae.
GGGAAACCCACCUGAAAACGAGUAUUCCCUUGAGAACCGUGGAAGACGACCACGUUGAUAGGCCGGGUGUGGAAGUGCGGCAACGCAUGAAGCUUACCGGUACUAAUCGUUCGAUUGGCUUGAUCGUUCUUGUU